Molecule: microRNA precursor, 194 nt
Organism: Leersia perrieri
Lineage: Eukaryota; Viridiplantae; Streptophyta; Magnoliopsida; Poales; Poaceae
Rfam family: MIR159 microRNA precursor family
Source: Rfam
GGAGGAGGAGAAGAGCUCCCGUUCGAUCCAAUUCAGGAGAGGAAGUGGUUGGAGGCAGCUGCCGGUUCAUGGAUACCCCUGGAGUGCAUGGCAGCGUUGGCCUGCACUUACACGGGUUUGCAUGACCUGGGAGAUGAACUCACCAUUGUCUUCCUUUCAUGAUUGGAUUGAAGGGAGCUCUACACACCUCCCUC